UGUUAUUUCUUCAUGUUAUUAGCUGCCCAUUUGAGACGUGAGCAAAAGAACAGCGGCGAUGCACAACCCUACACAGCACCACUCGUUGUCAUCUUGUCGGUCAAGUAGGCGCAUCGGAGGCUGCUCCACGCCUCCACCAUGGAAUCAAAUGGGUGAGGUCUUUUGCCCCUUUCCAAAUUCUGAAACCUCCCACUUCUAUGUAUAUGAACUUGUUCUUACUUGUUAUUCCAAUGUUUUAUAAUUAGUAUAAGGGUGCAGCGGCUGUUCUAUUCAUUAGUUGAUCCAUCUCCCACUUUAUAUUGCCCCUCAUCUCCCACUUUUUUUAUCACACAAUUCAGCAGAAAUUCUUUUCGGUCGUAUCUUGCCAAACUGAAGUAAUAUAUUCAAGCCAAAGACUGUACUGGCAACAAUUGUAAAUUGAGAAAACAGGAAGAAAAUAAACUUGCUGAUAAUGCAAUCAGAACAGAGAGUUAUGGACAUGUUUCUUUACUUUUCGCGUACUUUUGCACCAUCAAUUAUCAGUUGUGAAUUGUGAUCACUCGGUUCACUAAUAUAGUUGCUUGUUGAUCUUGGUCGCCGUUUCCAGUUUGCCCUGUCAUCUUGCUCAUAAUGCAGUCAACUUUAUUUCACUUUCAGCAUCAUGGAUCAUUCGAUCCUUCUGCACACUCAAUGAACAAGGGAGCUAGAGCGCUGAAACUUCCCGUAUUUUUAGUUUGUUGAUGCAUGACUGUUUUUCUUGCUAUCAUUGUCAUGACAAUGACUGGCUAGGAUGUGCUGAUGUAUUUUUUCAUCCAUGUUAACCACUAACCCACAGCUUAGCUAGACAGAGCUUCUUCUUUUUUUCUAUACAAACGCUUAUGUACCUUACAUAUUCUUUUAUUAGCAUACAAUUAAUCAGUGUUGCACACUGAUGGCAGGAAUUCUACUAUACAAGAUUAUAUCAAGGGGAAAGGAUAAGGGAGAAUGGGACUCUAUGAAGAAAGAACAAGAAGGUGUCCCUGAAAAAUAAGCAGCUGGAGAACAACAAGCUUAUUGUUGACUUUCUACAGAAAAUGUCGUAACACCUGAGAAAAUUGCUGGUGAGAACAUCACACAUGUUCUUAUAGUUUUUAAAUGAAAAACUUUUAUGUUUAUCUCUUUUUUUACUAGAAUAGUAGAUAAUGGGGCAUAGAUAUUUGAGAAGGCUUAGUGCAAUUAAUCCCUUUAUCUUGCAGUACUUUACACAUGGGUUCCAUUAUCAAAAUAGGAGAGCCUAGCAGUACAAAAUCGAGGCUCUGUACUAUAUUGUUGGCCAAAGGUUAUACAUAUGUACCUGUACUGAUUUAUUUAUAUUUGUAGCAUUUGAGAUGGUUGGCUUGUCAAUGCUACAAAUCGGUAUUUCUACUUCUAGAGAAAUGUAUGUUCGUUUUCCGAAUAACUGCUAUUGACCUUACAUGAUUCUUUUAAGUCAUACUAAUUUGGAUUUGUUAUGACAUACACUUGAACAUUUAUAGUAGAGAUAUCUGACUUUGUCUGUUGGAAAUUGAUAUCAAACAACAUGGAUAGUGCUAUUGUUCCUUUGCAUAAGCCAAAUUAGUCCUGACUAUUAUAGACGGCCAUUCCUUAUAGCACUAGGCAAAAUGAAUGUGGUUACUCACUGUUUCAGAUGAGUUUGUCAAUAAUUUGGCAAUGUGGUGUCGAAGUCUUUGCCCAUGAGGUUACACCUUCAAGGGUGACAUUGAAGAAGCAUUCAGAUGCACAGACAUAACAGAAGAUCAACUUGCACGUACAAGUUGUAUUGCAGACGAUGGGGCCAUGCGGUUGAAUGUGUCUGGUCAAGUUGAGCAAGAAGCAUGAUAUCAUUAACGAGAUGUUCACAAAAUUUCUUCAAAGUUUAUUUGAUGGUGUGGCAUAUUUUUUUCUGGUUAAGUUUUCUGUAUAUUUCUAUAUUUGUUUGUACAAACUGGAAGCUACAGAUGAACUUCAUAUAUACUCUUCCAACUUCGUUCAAUAAGAUCAAAGUAUGCAAUAUGUUUUUGAAUAGUAUAUGUACUAUAUGUUUCUGAAUAGUAUAUGUAUGUUCAACAGUAUUCAAAUUCUUUCUUUUCAGAGGGAAAUAAUCUUUUCGAUGGUAAAUAUAUUCCAAAGCAAUAUAACUAUCAUUGGAUUCACUAAUUCAUGCAUUAUCGAUAGUGGUAGAGGCAGAGAAAAUGUUGUCAGAUUAGAAGAGUGUAGGUUGUUCUAUGGUGAUGGGUACGACUGUGGCGUGGAGCCUUGAGGUCUUACAUGCC
Molecule: long non-coding RNA, 2270 nt
Filed under: Triticum aestivum (bread wheat)
Lineage: Eukaryota; Viridiplantae; Streptophyta; Magnoliopsida; Poales; Poaceae
Description: long non-coding RNA (TAES_LNC009073)
Source: RNAcentral